RNAcentral lists this ribosomal RNA (501 nucleotides) under uncultured bacterium. RNAcentral describes it as "partial 16S ribosomal RNA". It matches the Rfam family "Bacterial small subunit ribosomal RNA", at positions 29 to 523 of the family's 1533-position model. The record is from RNAcentral.
AUUGAACGCUGGCGGCAUGCCUUACACAUGCAAGUCGAACGCGAAAGCGGGGGCAACCCUGCAAGUAGAGUGGCGAACGGGCGAGUAACACAUCGGAACGUACCCAGGAGUGGGGGACAACCUCGAGAAAUCGAGGCUAAUACCGCAUACGUCCUGAGGGAGAAAGCGGGGGAUCGCAAGACCUCGCGCUCAUGGAGCGGCCGAUGUCCGAUUAGCUAGUUGGCGGGGUAAGAGCCCACCAAGGCGACGAUCGGUAGCUGGUUUGAGAGAACGACCAGCCACACUGGGACUGAGACACGGCCCAGACUCCUACGGGAGGCAGCAGUGGGGAAUUUUGGACAAUGGGGGCAACCCUGAUCCAGCCAUGCCGCGUGAGUGAAGAAGGCCUUCGGGUUGUAAAGCUCUUUCGGCCGGAACGAAAUCGGGUACGUGAAUAACGGAUCUGGAUGACGGUACUGGAAGAAGAAGCACCGGCUAACUACGUGCCAGCCGCCGCAGUAA